Molecule: transfer RNA, 71 nt
Filed under: Cordylochernes scorpioides
Lineage: Eukaryota; Metazoa; Arthropoda; Arachnida; Pseudoscorpiones; Chernetidae
Description: tRNA-Gly
Source: RNAcentral
UGCAUUGGCCGGGAAUCGAACCCGGGCUGCCCGUGUGGCAGGCGAGCAUUCUACCACUGAACCACCGAUGG